RNAcentral lists this ribosomal RNA (492 nucleotides) under uncultured bacterium. Its description in RNAcentral is "partial 16S ribosomal RNA". It matches the Rfam family "Bacterial small subunit ribosomal RNA", at positions 29 to 507 of the family's 1533-position model. The record is from RNAcentral.
AGUGAACGCUGGCGGUAGGCCUAACACAUGCAAGUCGAACGGCAGCACAGUAAGAGCUUGCUCUUACGGGUGGCGAGUGGCGGACGGGUGAGGAAUACAUCGGAAUCUACUUUUUCGUGGGGGAUAACGUAGGGAAACUUACGCUAAUACCGCAUACGACCUACGGGUGAAAGCAGGGGAUCUUCGGACCUUGCGCGAUUGAAUGAGCCGAUGUCGGAUUAGCUAGUUGGCGGGGUAAAGGCCCACCAAGGCGACGAUCCGUAGCUGGUCUGAGAGGAUGGUCGGCCACACUGGAACGUAGACACGGUCCAGACUCCUACGGGAGGCAGCAGUGGGGAAUGUUGGACAAUGGGGGCAAGCCUGAUCCAGCCAUACCGCGUGGGUGAAGAAGGCGUUCGGGUUGUAAAGCCCUUCUGUUGGGAAAGAAAAGCAGCAGGUUAAUACCCCGCUGUUCUGACGGUACCCAAAGAAUAAGCACCGGCUAACUUCGUG